This 440-nucleotide ribosomal RNA is filed under the name uncultured bacterium. Its description in RNAcentral is "partial 16S ribosomal RNA". It matches the Rfam family "Bacterial small subunit ribosomal RNA", at positions 338 to 795 of the family's 1533-position model. The record is from RNAcentral.
CCUACGGGUGGCAGCAGUGGGGAAUAUUGCACAAUGGGGGAAACCCUGAUGCAGCAACGCCGCGUGGGUGAAGGAGCGUUUCGGCGCGUAAAGCCCUGUCAGCGGGGAAGAAGAAAGACGGUACCCGACCAAGAAGCCCCGGCUAACUACGUGCCAGCAGCCGCGGUAAUACGUAGGGGGCGAGCGUUAUCCGGAUUUAUUGGGUUUAAAGGGUGCGCAGGCGGUCUGUUAAGUCAGCGGUCAAAGCCCGGGGCUCAACCCCGGCCCGCCGUUGAAACUGGCAGUCUCGAGUUGGAGAGAAGUAUGCGGAAUGCGCGGUGUAGCGGUGAAAUGCAUAGAUAUCAGGAGGAACACCGGCGGCGAAGGCGGCCUGCUGGACUGAAACUGACGUUGAGGCUCGAAAGCGUGGGGAGCAAACAGGAUUAGAUACCCCAGUAGUC